GUGGUGUGCCCAAGGCCCAGGAGACCAAGGCUAAGGCCAAGGUCCAUCAUUCAUGAGGGCUUCAUGGAGGCUCUAGGGCUAGUUGGGCCCUAGGUUGAAAGGUUGUGGGCCUUUCGGGUUCUUGAGGUCUAGGUUAUGUGGGCCUCAAGGGACCAACUCUUUAUGGGCCAGGUCUGGGCCCAGGAUAGGUGAGAUUAGGUCGAGUCAUGGG
RNAcentral lists this long non-coding RNA (211 nucleotides) under Elaeis guineensis (African oil palm). RNAcentral describes it as "long non-coding RNA (EGUI_LNC066035)". The record is from RNAcentral. Lineage: Eukaryota; Viridiplantae; Streptophyta; Magnoliopsida; Arecales; Arecaceae.